AUCGACAGCCAUGCCACCCUGAGCGUGCCUGAUCUUGUCUGAUUUCGGAAGCUAAGCAGGGUCGGGCCUGGUUAGUACUUGAAUGGAAGACCAGGUGCUGUAGGCG
This 106-nucleotide ribosomal RNA is filed under the name Pteropus alecto (black flying fox). The record is from RNAcentral. Lineage: Eukaryota; Metazoa; Chordata; Mammalia; Chiroptera; Pteropodidae.